CUGGAGGUAUCAGAAGUGCGAAUGCUGACAUAAGUAACGAUAAAGCGGGUGAAAAGCCCGCUCGCCGGAAGACCAAGGGUUCCUGUCCAACGUUAAUCGGGGCAGGGUGAGUCGACCCCUAAGGCGAGGCCGAAAGGCGUAGUCGAUGGGAAACAGGUUAAUAUUCCUGUACUUGGUGUUACUGCGAAGGGGGGACGGAGAAGGCUAUGUUGGCCGGGCGACGGUUGUCCCGGUUUAAGCGUGUAGGUGUGUGUUCCAGGUAAAUCCGGUUCACUCUAACACUGAGGCGUGACGACGAGGCACUACGGUGCUGAAGCAACAAAUGCCCUGCUUCCAGGAAAAGCCUCUAAGCAUCAGGUAACAUCAAAUCGUACCCCAAACCGACACAGGUGGUCAGGUAGAGAAUACCAAGGCGCUUGAGAGAACUCGGGUGAAGGAACUAGGCAAAAUGGUGCCGUAACUUCGGGAGAAGGCACGCUGACAU
This 484-nucleotide ribosomal RNA is filed under the name Salmonella enterica subsp. salamae. RNAcentral's name for it is "partial 23S ribosomal RNA". It matches the Rfam family "Bacterial large subunit ribosomal RNA", at positions 1273 to 1757 of the family's 2925-position model. Lineage: Bacteria; Pseudomonadati; Pseudomonadota; Gammaproteobacteria; Enterobacterales; Enterobacteriaceae. The record is from RNAcentral.